This 492-nucleotide ribosomal RNA is filed under the name uncultured bacterium. Its description in RNAcentral is "partial 16S ribosomal RNA". It matches the Rfam family "Bacterial small subunit ribosomal RNA", at positions 29 to 507 of the family's 1533-position model. The record is from RNAcentral.
AGUGAACGCUGGCGGUAGGCCUAACACAUGCAAGUCGAACGGCAGCACAGUAAGAGCUUGCUCUUACGGGUGGCGAGUGGCGGACGGGUGAGGAAUACAUCGGAAUCUACUUUUUCGUGGGGGAUAACGUAGGGAAACUUACGCUAAUACCGCAUACGACCUACGGGUGAAAGCAGGGGAUCUUCGGACCUUGCGCGAUUGAAUGAGCCGAUGUCGGAUUAGCUAGUUGGCGGGGUAAAGGCCCACCAAGGCGACGAUCCGUAGCUGGUCUGAGAGGAUGAUCAGCCACACUGGAACUGAGACACGGUCCAGACUCCUACGGGAGGCAGCAGUGGGGAAUCUUGGACAAUGGGCGAAAGCCUGACCCAGCAACACCGCGUGGGUGAAGAAGGCCUUCGGGUUGUAAAGCCCUUUUGUUGGGAAAGAAAAGCAGCAGGUUAAUCCACCGAUGUUUUGACGGUACCCAAAGAAUAAGCCCCGGCUAACUUCGUG